UCCUCCCUCUGGCUUCGUGCUUAACACAUGCAAGUCGAACGGAAAGGCCCUGCUUUUGUGGGGUGCUCGAGUGGCGAACGGGUGAGUAACACGUGAGUAACCUGCCCUUGACUUUGGGAUAACUUCAGGAAACUGGGGCUAAUACCGGAUAGGAGCUCCUGCUGCAUGGUGGGGGUUGGAAAGUUUCGGCGGUUGGGGAUGGACUCGCGGCUUAUCAGCUUGUUGGUGGGGUAGUGGCUUACCAAGGCUUUGACGGGUAGCCGGCCUGAGAGGGUGACCGGCCACAUUGGGACUGAGAUACGGCCCAGACUCCUACGGGAGGCAGCAGUGGGGAAUAUUGCACAAUGGGCGGAAGCCUGAUGCAGCAACGCCGCGUGCGGGAUGACGGCCUUCGGGUUGUAAACCGCUUUCGCCUGUGACGAAGCGUGAGUGACGGUAAUGGGUAAAGAAGCACCGGCUAACUACGUG
Molecule: ribosomal RNA, 468 nt
Filed under: uncultured bacterium
Lineage: Bacteria
Description: partial 16S ribosomal RNA
Rfam family: Bacterial small subunit ribosomal RNA
Source: RNAcentral